AGACCCGAAACCCGGUGAUCUAGCCAUGGGCAGGUUGAAGGUUGGGUAACACUAACUGGAGGACCGAACCGACUAAUGUUGAAAAAUUAGCGGAUGACCUGUGGCUGGGGGUGAAAGGCCAAUCAAACCGGGAGAUAGCUGGUUCUCCCCGAAAGCUAUUUAGGUAGCGCCUCGUGAAUUCAUCUCCGGGGGUAGAGCACUGUUUCGGCUAGGGGGCCAUCCCGGCUUACCAACCCGAUGCAAACUGCGAAUACCGGAGAAUGUUAUCACGGGAGACACACGGCGGGUGCUAACGUCCGUCGUGAAGAGGGAAACAACCCAGACCGCCAGCUAAGGUCCCAAAGUCAUGGUUAAGUGGGAAACGAUGUGGGAAGGCCCAGACAGCCAGGAUGUUGGCUUAGAAGCAGCCAUCAUUUAAAGAAAGCGUAAUAGCUCACUGGUCGAGUCGGCCUGCGCGGAAGAUGUAACGGGGCUAAACCAUGCACCGAAGCUGCGGCAGCGAACGUAUCACCCAAGACAACUUUACGGAGUUGACGAUUGACGGAGCGAAGCGACGUCAAAGCGUUCAUUAAAGUCGAGUUGGCUUAGGGAUACGUUCGUUGGGUAGGGGAGCGUUCUGUAAGCCUGUGAAGGUGUGUCGUGAGGCAUGCUGGAGGUAUCAGAAGUGCGAAUGCUGACAUAAGUAACGAUAAAGCGGGUGAAAAGCCCGCUCGCCGGAAGACCAAGGGUUCCUGUCCAACGUUAAUCGGGGCAGGGUGAGUCGACCCCUAAGGCGAGGCCGAAAGGCGUAGUCGAUGGGAAACGGGUUAAUAUUCCCGUACUUGGUGUUACUGCGAAGGGGGGACGGAGAAGGCUAUGUUGGCCGGGCGACGGUUGUCCCGGUUUAAGCGGGUAGGUGUGUGUUCCAGGUAAAUCCGGUUCACUUUAACACUGAGGCGUGACGACGAGGCACUACGGUGCUGAAGCAACAAAUGCCCUGCUUCCAGGAAAAGCCUCUAAGCAUCAGGUAACACGAAAUCGUACCCCAAACCGACACAGGUGGUCAGGUAGAGAAUACCAAGGCGC
Molecule: ribosomal RNA, 1065 nt
Filed under: Salmonella enterica subsp. enterica serovar Typhimurium
Lineage: Bacteria; Pseudomonadati; Pseudomonadota; Gammaproteobacteria; Enterobacterales; Enterobacteriaceae
Description: partial 23S ribosomal RNA
Rfam family: Bacterial large subunit ribosomal RNA
Source: RNAcentral